Molecule: long non-coding RNA, 1203 nt
Organism: Heterocephalus glaber (naked mole-rat)
Lineage: Eukaryota; Metazoa; Chordata; Mammalia; Rodentia; Bathyergidae
Source: Ensembl
CCUCCAUUGACUUAGGUCACCACCCUUGCCUCUGAUGUUUCAUUUUUGGGAAAUAAACCGUGAUGUGUUCAGGCAUGAUAUACUUAUGUCUGUUUAUACUAAAGCCUAACUAGCCUAUCUUACUCCACUAGUUGAAGAUGGCACCAACCCAGUCUAACAGAGUCAGUUCUCUUUUCUAAUUCCGGCCAGACUAGAGCAAAAGAGCUGGAAUCAAAGGAGAAAGAGAGAGAAAUGGAAGAGCAAACAAUAGCCUUCUACCCUCCAUUUCCAGCACAAGCUGGAGGCAAACAAAAAGAUGAGAUUGGAGCUCAACUGGUAGAAAAAAAGUCCGUAACUCAAAGGAGAUCAGCUACUUCUGCAGCAGGCCCUAUGCUAAUUACUUUAUAAGUACUCAUUCUUUCAACUUACACCAGCUCUAUGAGAUGUUCUCAAACAAACUUUGGGUGAUGACAAUGGUGAUGAUGAUGAUGGUGAUGAUGAUGAUGACGAUAAUGAAGAUUCAAAAACACUACCAUCGAAUGCUUAUGCAUCAAAAAUUGUUCUCACUGCUUUUCAUAAAAUACAUUAAUUAACCAUCUCCACAAACAUAUCAGAUGGCACUUCCUGUUUGAUCUUCCAGAAAACGUCUUUCUCUACAUCUACUCACUGCUCUAAAACUGCCAUGGCCUGGGCAUCACCAACAACAGCAUUUCUCACUCUGUAGCCCAUGGACCUUCGGCAGACAAGUCACCUGAAAUCAUGUUCAUAAUGCUAAUUCUUGGUUGAAACUCAGACCUGUAGAAUCAGAAUCUCUACAGAUUUGGCUGUGCAAUCCGUAUUCUGAAAAGCAUACUAGGUCUAACUAGUAAGGCCUAAGGAAAGCAAUUUAAAUCACCACAUUUGGCAUCUAAGACUUCAUACUCUCUUCCCUAUGUUCUCUCUCCCAGUGAGCCCUAGUGUUCAUGCCCCCAAUCUACCCAAGAAGCUAGUUUUGGACUUUUUUUGACUGUUAAAAUAUACAUCCUCAUGGUUAGUUUAAUUAUUUUAUUUAAACUACAGAUGACAGUUUUUCAUUAUUUUCCUUUCAAUUUUGACUGCAGAAAGAGAGAAAAAAAAAAGACAAGCGAGCCAGUAGUGAUAAUUUCCAAGAGGCAAGCAUUGAAAGGACUUAGGAUAAGAGUUCAUUUAAUUUCAUUUUAUGCAAAUAAAAUAAAAUAAUAAGAC